UAUAUUUGCCGCGCUAAUUAAAAAUUAAUUAGCUACAUAAUAAUCAUUUAUAACAAUAUUGGCAUG
This 66-nucleotide non-coding RNA is filed under the name unclassified sequences. RNAcentral describes it as "S15-Flavobacteria ribosomal protein leader". It matches the Rfam family "S15-Flavobacteria ribosomal protein leader". The record is from RNAcentral.